Molecule: ribosomal RNA, 253 nt
Filed under: uncultured bacterium
Lineage: Bacteria
Description: partial 16S ribosomal RNA
Rfam family: Bacterial small subunit ribosomal RNA
Source: RNAcentral
UACGAAGGGGGCUAGCGUUGCUCGGAAUCACUGGGCGUAAAGCGCACGUAGGCGGAUUGCUAAGUCAGGGGUGAAAUCCUGGAGCUCAACUCCAGAACUGCCCUUGAUACUGGCGGCCUCGAGUCCGGGAGAGGUGAGUGGAACUGCGAGUGUAGAGGUGAAAUUCGUAGAUAUUCGCAAGAACACCAGUGGCGAAGGCGGCUCACUGGCCCGGUACUGACGCUGAGGUGCGAAAGCGUGGGGAGCAAACAGG